Penaeus indicus is the source of this 282-nucleotide long non-coding RNA. RefSeq lists it as uncharacterized. The record is from RefSeq and is a predicted model, not a curated record. Lineage: Eukaryota; Metazoa; Arthropoda; Malacostraca; Decapoda; Penaeidae. The transcript has 3 exons.
CUACGGACUACAAGAACUGCCAUUGCUGUAGGUUUUCCUUGGCGAGAGAGACUUUUUUCAAGUCAUAUUUCGCUUGGAUUAUGAAGAAGGGGUCGGUUUACACACAGGUCAUCAAUUCGAGAUUUUUGCAGUAUGAACAAUUUGGAUUCUUUGCGAAGUGGCAGCAAGACUUUUUCCCUCAAGACAACGAGUGUACUCGUCCGAGUCCAAGAGGUCCGCGUAGUCUGGGUCUCGAGGAUCUAGUGGGAUGUUUCACACUCCUCGGGACUCUUUUAGUAUUAG